Molecule: long non-coding RNA, 451 nt
Filed under: Homo sapiens (human)
Lineage: Eukaryota; Metazoa; Chordata; Mammalia; Primates; Hominidae
Description: HSALNT0344512
Source: RNAcentral
GUCACAAUGGUGGACUGUCCAGGUGCUGGCUCGGGAGGGAGGUCCACGUCACAAUGGUGGACUGUCCAGGUAGUGGCUCAGGAGGGAGGUCCACGUCACAAUGGUGGACUGUCCGGGUAGUGGCUCGGGAGGGAGGUCCACGUCACAAUGGUGGACUGUCCGGGUAGUGGCUCAGGGGGGAGGUCCACGUCACAAUGGUGGACUGUCCAGGUGCUGGCUCAGGAGGGAGGUCCACGUCACAAUGGUGGACUGUCCAGGUGCUGGCUCAGGAGGGAGGUCCACGUCACAAUGGUGGACUGUCCGGGUACUGGCUCGGGAGGGAGGUCCACGUCACAAUGGUGGACUGUCCGGGUAGUGGCUCGGGAGGGAGGUCCACGUCACAAUGGUGGACUGUCCAGGUGCUGGCUCGGGAGGGAGGUCCACGUCACAAUGGUGGACUGUCCAGGUGCUG